Dipodomys ordii (Ord's kangaroo rat) is the source of this 272-nucleotide long non-coding RNA. RefSeq lists it as uncharacterized. The transcript has 3 exons. Lineage: Eukaryota; Metazoa; Chordata; Mammalia; Rodentia; Heteromyidae. The record is from RefSeq and is a predicted model, not a curated record.
CGGUUUGCAAGGAGCUUCAGCUGCCACUUAGUGAUCUCCACUUGAGCACUGACCUGGUGGCCCUGUCUUACUCUGCAGCCUCAGGUGAAACACAUUCGGUUCAGGCUGUGGCUGUUAUGGUUGCCACCAGAGAGGGAUCCAUCCGCUAUUGGCCAAGCCUUGCUGGAGAGGACACCUACACGGAGACCUGUGUGGAUUUGGGAGGCGAUAAGACUUGCAUGUUUCUGACUGCAGUGCAGGGAGGAAGUUUCUCUUGUCCUCUGUGGGAUGCC